Molecule: ribosomal RNA, 505 nt
Filed under: uncultured bacterium
Lineage: Bacteria
Description: partial 16S ribosomal RNA
Rfam family: Bacterial small subunit ribosomal RNA
Source: RNAcentral
GACGAACGCUGGCGGCGUGCCUAAUACAUGCAAGUAGAACGCACAGUUUAUACCGUAGCUUGCUACACCAUAGACUGUGAGUUGCGAACGGGUGAGUAACGCGUAGGUAACCUGCCUGGUAGCGGGGGAUAACUAUUGGAAACGAUAGCUAAUACCGCAUAAUAUUAAUUAUUGCAUGAUAAUUAAUUGAAAGGUGCAAUUGCACCACUACCAGAUGGACCUGCGUUGUAUUAGCUAGUAGGUGAGGUAACGGCUUACCUAGGCGACGAUACAUAGCCGACCUGAGAGGGUGAUCGGCCACACUGGGACUGAGACACGGCCCAGACUCCUACGGGAGGCAGCAGUAGGGAAUCUUCGGCAAUGGACGAAAGUCUGACCGAGCAACGCCGCGUGAGUGAAGAAGGUUUUCGGAUCAUAAAGCUCUGUUGUAAGAGAAGAACGGGUGUGAGAGUGGAAAGUUCACACUGUGACGGUAUCUGACCAGAAAGGGACGGCUAACUACGUG